CCUACGGGAGGCAGCAGUGAGGAAUAUUGGUCAAUGGACGAGAGUCUGAACCAGCCAAGUAGCGUGAAGGAUGACUGCCCUAUGGGUUGUAAACUUCUUUUAUAUGGGAAUAAAAUGUUCCACGUGUGGGAUUUUGUAUGUACCAUAUGAAUAAGGAUCGGCUAACUACGUGCCAGCAGCCGCGGUAAUACGGAGGAUCCGAGCGUUAUCCGGAUUUAUUGGGUUUGAAGGGAGCGUAGGUGGAUUUUUAAGUCAGUUGUGAAAGUUUGCGGCGAAACCGUAAAAUUGCAGUUGAAACUGGAAGUCUUGAGUACAGUAGAGGUGGGCGGAAUUCGUGGUGUAGCGGUGAAAUGCUUAGAUAUCACGAAGAACUCCGAUUGCGAAGGCAGCUCACUGGACUGCAACUGACACUGAGGCUCGAAAGUGUGGGUAUCAAACAGGAUUAGAUACCCGAGUAGUC
This 460-nucleotide ribosomal RNA is filed under the name uncultured bacterium. RNAcentral describes it as "partial 16S ribosomal RNA". It matches the Rfam family "Bacterial small subunit ribosomal RNA", at positions 338 to 795 of the family's 1533-position model. The record is from RNAcentral.